GAUGAACGCUGGCGGCGUGCCUAAUACAUGCAAGUCGAGCGAACGGACGAGAAGCUUGCUUCUCUGAUGUUAGCGGCGGACGGGUGAGUAACACGUGGAUAACCUACCUAUAAGACUGGGAUAACUUCGGGAAACCGGAGCUAAUACCGGAUAAUAUUUUGAACCGCAUGGUUCAAAAGUAAAAGACGGUCUUGCUGUCACUUAUAGAUGGAUCCGCGCUGCAUUAGCUAGUUGGUAAGGUAACGGCUUACCAAGGCAACGAUGCAUAGCCGACCUGAGAGGGUGAUCGGCCACACUGGAACUGAGACACGGUCCAGACUCCUACGGGAGGCAGCAGUAGGGAAUCUUCCGCAAUGGGCGAAAGCCUGACGGAGCAACGCCGCGUGAGUGAUGAAGGUCUUCGGAUCGUAAAACUCUGUUAUUAGGGAAGAACAUAUGUGUAAGUAACUGUGCACAUCUUGACGGUACCUAAUCAGAAAGCCACGGCUAACUACGUGCCAGCAGCCGCGGUAAUACGUAGGUGGCAAGCGUUAUCCGGAAUUAUUGGGCGUAAAGCGCGCGUAGGCGGUUUUUUAAGUCUGAUGUGAAAGCCCACGGCUCAACCGUGGAGGGUCAUUGGAAACUGGAAAACUUGAGUGCAGAAGAGGAAAGUGGAAUUCCAUGUGUAGCGGUGAAAUGCGCAGAGAUAUGGAGGAACACCAGUGGCGAAGGCGACUUUCUGGUCUGUAACUGACGCUGAUGUGCGAAAGCGUGGGGAUCAAACAGGAUUAGAUACCCUGGUAGUCCACGCCGUAAACGAUGAGUGCUAAGUGUUAGGGGGUUUCCGCCCCUUAGUGCUGCAGCUAACGCAUUAAGCACUCCGCCUGGGGAGUACGACCGCAAGGUUGAAACUCAAAGGAAUUGACGGGGACCCGCACAAGCGGUGGAGCAUGUGGUUUAAUUCGAAGCAACGCGAAGAACCUUACCAAAUCCUGACAUCCUUUGACAACUCUAGAGAUAGAGCCUUCCCCUUCGGGGGACAAAGUGACAGGUGGUGCAUGGUUGUCGUCAGCUCGUGUCGUGAGAUGUUGGGUUAAGUCCCGCAACGAGCGCAACCCUUAAGCUUAGUUGCCAUCAUUAAGUUGGGCACUCUAAGUUGACUGCCGGUGACAAACCGGAGGAAGGUGGGGAUGACGUCAAAUCAUCAUGCCCCUUAUGAUUUGGGCUACACACGUGCUACAAUGGACAAUACAAAGGGCAGCGAAACCGCGAGGUCAAGCAAAUCCCAUAAAGUUGUUCUCAGUUCGGAUUGUAGUCUGCAACUCGACUACAUGAAGCUGGAAUCGCUAGUAAUCGUAGAUCAGCAUGCUACGGUGAAUACGUUCCCGGGUCU
This 1372-nucleotide ribosomal RNA is filed under the name uncultured bacterium. Its description in RNAcentral is "bacterial SSU rRNA". It matches the Rfam family "Bacterial small subunit ribosomal RNA", at positions 28 to 1381 of the family's 1533-position model. The record is from RNAcentral.